UAUGGUUCCUUGGAUCGUACAUACUACAUGGAUAACUGUAGUAAUUCUAGAGCUAAUACAUGCCACUAUGCCCUGACCCGCAAGGGAACGGGUGGAUUUAUUAGAACAGAACCAACCGGUUGUGGCUUUUGUCGCAGCCGUUGUACUCUGUGAUGACUCUGGAUAACUUUACUGAUCGCAGUCGGCCUUGUGUCGGCGACGGAUCCUUCAAAUGUCUGCCCUAUCAAUUGUCGAUGGUAGGUGAUCUGCCUACCAUGGUGAUAACGGGUAACGGGGAAUCAGGGUUCGAUUCCGGAGAGGGAGCCUGAGAAACGGCUACCACUUCUAAGGAAGGCAGCAGGCACGCAAAUUACCCAAUCCCGGCACGGGGAGGUAGUGACGAUAAAUACGGAUACGGGACUCAACAGAGGCUCCGUAAUUCGAAUGAGUACAAUUUA
RNAcentral lists this ribosomal RNA (437 nucleotides) under Chiorchis groschafti. Its description in RNAcentral is "SSU rRNA". It matches the Rfam family "Eukaryotic small subunit ribosomal RNA", at positions 111 to 527 of the family's 1831-position model. RNAcentral also lists the same sequence under 1 other name. Lineage: Eukaryota; Metazoa; Platyhelminthes; Trematoda; Plagiorchiida; Cladorchiidae. The record is from RNAcentral.